This 58-nucleotide transfer RNA is filed under the name Salmo salar (Atlantic salmon). It matches the Rfam family "tRNA", at positions 8 to 63 of the family's 71-position model. From Rfam's summary of the family: Transfer RNA (tRNA) molecules are approximately 80 nucleotides in length. Their secondary structure includes four short double-helical elements and three loops (D, anti-codon, and T loops). Further hydrogen bonds mediate the characteristic L-shaped molecular structure. tRNAs have two regions of fundamental functional importance: the anti-codon, which is responsible for specific mRNA codon recognition, and the 3' end, to which the tRNAs corresponding amino acid is attached (by aminoacyl-tRNA synthetases). tRNAs cope with the degeneracy of the genetic code in two manners: having more than one tRNA (with a specific anti-codon) for a particular amino acid; and 'wobble' base-pairing, i.e. permitting non-standard base-pairing at the 3rd anti-codon position. Lineage: Eukaryota; Metazoa; Chordata; Actinopteri; Salmoniformes; Salmonidae. RNAcentral also lists the same sequence under 1 other name. The record is from Rfam by way of RNAcentral.
UGGCUCAGUUGGUAGAGCAUGGUGUUUGCAACGCCAGGGUUGUGGAUUCGAUUUCCAC